CACUCCUGCGGGAGGCAGCAGUGGGGAAUUUUGGACAAUGGGCGAAAGCCUGAUCCAGCCAUGCCGCGUGCAGGAUGAAGGCCUUCGGGUUGUAAACUGCUUUUGUACGGAACGAAACGGCCUUUUCUAAUAAAGAGGGCUAAUGACGGUACCGUAAGAAUAAGCACCGGCUAACUACGUGCCAGCAGCCGCGGUAAUACGUAGGGUGCAAGCGUUAAUCGGAAUUACUGGGCGUAAAGCGUGCGCAGGCGGUUAUGUAAGACAGUUGUGAAAUCCCCGGGCUCAACCUGGGAACUGCAUCUGUGACUGCAUAGCUAGAGUACGGUAGAGGGGGAUGGAAUUCCGCGUGUAGCAGUGAAAUGCGUAGAUAUGCGGAGGAACACCGAUGGCGAAGGCAAUCCCCUGGACCUGUACUGACGCUCAUGCACGAAAGCGUGGGGAGCAAACAGGAUUAGAUACCCCGGUAGUCC
RNAcentral lists this ribosomal RNA (470 nucleotides) under uncultured organism. Its description in RNAcentral is "partial 16S ribosomal RNA". It matches the Rfam family "Bacterial small subunit ribosomal RNA", at positions 334 to 796 of the family's 1533-position model. The record is from RNAcentral.